GCAUCAGUAGUGCAGUGGGUUAGAGCUCGCGCUCCCGGAUAGAGCGAGAUGAGGGUUCGAGCCCCGCCUGAUGCA
Non-coding RNA from Parelaphostrongylus tenuis, 75 nucleotides. The record is from the annotation of a GenBank genome assembly. Lineage: Eukaryota; Metazoa; Nematoda; Chromadorea; Rhabditida; Metastrongylidae.